AGCAAACGGAUAGCGCCAGACUUCAGGGAGCACAGGAACAACGGCCCUGAAGUGACGAGGAUUGGGUUUAUCGAAGAUUCGGCGGAUGACCCAAGGCACGUGUAGUCUACAGGAUUGAAGCAAAAAAGACCCUUCUGCGGCCCGAGCGCCCGGAUCGGUCUUACAGAGAUCAAUCCCCACACCCAG
Molecule: non-coding RNA, 186 nt
Filed under: Trichococcus sp.
Lineage: Bacteria; Bacillati; Bacillota; Bacilli; Lactobacillales; Carnobacteriaceae
Description: GlcN6P sequence
Rfam family: glmS glucosamine-6-phosphate activated ribozyme aptamer
About the family: This entry contains a glucosamine-6-phosphate activated ribozyme that is found in the mRNA for GlmS. GlmS is an enzyme that uses fructose-6-phosphate and glutamine to generate glucosamine-6-phosphate.
Source: RNAcentral